AAAAAAAAAAACAAACAAACAAAAAAAACAACAUGAGUUCAAAUCCUGAAAUGAGUUCAAAUUCUGACCCUGCUCUUAAUAGAUGUACGACCUUUGAUGCCUCAGUUUUGCUCAUUGGUAAAAUGGAGAUAGUAAUAUUAUUUAUCUCAUAUGGCUGUUUUGAAAGUUAGAUGUGUCUGUAUAGUGCUCAGCACAGAGCCUAGAACAGAAUAAGUAUCAGUAAAUAUUAGCUAUUACUAACUGGUAUGCUUAUGCCCCACUCUCUGGUAGCACUUACUGUAGAAUUGUGGCCAGGGAGGCAAGAAGUAAGAUAAUAGCUUGUCAAUGUUUCUGAGUACACAGCACUUAGGUCUCUAUUACAGCAGGCCAGUUGGGUGGUCAAGUACAUCCUUGGACUGCAACACAACAUGUGCACAGAUGGAAACUAGGAUUGAUUAACUCCUGAGCAUUCUGCAUUGGAAUUAAGGGGGAUGAUUAUUGGGUCUCCCCAAGUACACAAUUCCAUAUGAAUCUCUGUGGCUGUUAUUAAACUCUGGAUUGGAGGCUAGUUUCACCCAGGCGAUGAUAGAAAUUGGGGGUUGGGGGUUGGGUGUUGGGAGCUGGAGCAUGGAAUGUGUGAGACAGGAAAACAGUAUGGGUAGGGACGAAAAGCCAUUGAUAAAAACAGCCGUUUGCCCCCCUUCCCUUCCCUGCUUAGAUUCUGGAAGACUCAGAGCUCUCUGGUCUCUGCUGCUGUGUUGCUGCCUGUUAGCGUGAUUGUCGCUGUUGCCAGGGGAAGCCUGGCUGAUUGAAUCACACGCCGUGACGUCAGACACUGCUGUGUGGCUGAGCCCACCGAAUUCCAGACAGAAUCUAGCAGGAAACACAUCACUUCUUGAAUACCAAAAAUACCAGCCUUACAAACUAAGACAUGAAAUGGUGGCUUGUAGCACCAAGUUUCAUUUGUAAGUCCUUGUCCCCACUCCUAGGAUUCAGGGACUACCCAGCACCUCUUAUGGCUCCUCAUAGGAAGUGACUCUUGGAUUUCUGGCCCAUCACUCAUCCUCAUUCCUGUCCCCAUGUCCCCAUCUCGUGUGUUCUUUCUCAGGAUCCUGCUGGAUGGCCAGCUGGCUUUGCUAAUUUUGAAAGUGUGGGAAAGGUUCAGAUGCUCUUGUUGGUCUAAGAAGUGUAUGCAGAAACAUUAAGACACAUCCAGUCUGAGUCCACAGGAAGUUGGCAGCAGUCCCGCAGGGAGUAUUGUGAGCAUCUGUUAUAUUUAGGGGUCUGUUUUAACAAGUAACUUCAUGGCAACUUCUAUAAUAUUAAAAUUAUCAGGGUUGGGGGGCAUUGUUUUGGACUAAACUUGUGUACUAGGCUCUAACAGAUCAGAAAAACCAAAAUGGAGUCCCUCUUGCUACAUGGCAUGUGGUAAUCAAACUGAAACUUUAAGGAAGCCAGUAGAUCCCAAAACAGACCAUUUUCUUUCUCCUCAAAACAGGAGAUUCCAGCAUAAUAAGGAAACCCCCUCAGCUUUAACCUUUACAAAAAGGUAACCUGAAGUAACCUGAUGUUAACCCAUCAGCCUUUCCCUCUAUUUUUCAUUUUCCUUAUUCCCACCUUAUAAAACUCACUGUUAGGCUAUUUUCCAGUGGGAUUUGAGACCAGAUAUGUCCACUUACAACAGUGACAGAAUGAUAUCAAUGCCUAAAGCUUUGGUCAACCUCUCAAAAUUGUUAAAUUAAGUUUAGCCUAGGCCGG
Molecule: long non-coding RNA, 1737 nt
Filed under: Homo sapiens (human)
Lineage: Eukaryota; Metazoa; Chordata; Mammalia; Primates; Hominidae
Description: HSALNT0018486
Source: RNAcentral